Megalobrama amblycephala (Wuchang bream) is the source of this 3416-nucleotide long non-coding RNA. RefSeq lists it as uncharacterized. Lineage: Eukaryota; Metazoa; Chordata; Actinopteri; Cypriniformes; Xenocyprididae. The record is from RefSeq and is a predicted model, not a curated record. The transcript has 3 exons.
GAAGAGCUCCAGACAUCACAUUAUGUUCUUUGAAAGCAUAUCAUGUGUCAGCCGGACAAGAACAAGAUCGGUAUAGCCCAAGAUAUGCAGUUAGUGGAGGGGAAUGGGGUUGGCAAAUGGGCCAAGUACAACGCAUUCGUACCAGUGCUUCAAACGCUCACCUUUGGCAGUGAUUCCCAGCUGGCAGCCUCCUGAUCAUAAAAUAUUAGUGAAGAUCAGAGCUAAAAACUAUGAUCUUGGCUGAGGACCGUCUUUGGAGCCUGCGGCAAAAUGGUUGGCCUUUGGAGAGGUAUGCAGAGGAUUUUCUCAAGCUUUCCCAUCAGGUGAGCUGGCCUGACACCUCCCGCAGUGUUUUGGGAUGGGACUGGAUGGGGAUACGUUAAUUCGUUAUAGCGAGCCAGCUUGUUAUUUCUCUUUAGUCGAUAAAUCUCUAUUUAAACGGUUCAAAUUUUGAAGUAGAAGAAGUUAAAGAAAAGGAGUGUCUUCCUCAUCCAGCCCCCUCUGAGACACACUUGGCCUUGUAAGCUCACCCCACGCCGGUGCCCUCCACAUACCGCUCCAAGGGAUCCAUCCAUUCCUGACCUCCUGUGUUUCCCCGUUUCCAAAACUGGGUUUCUAACAGCACUGAAGUCUGCCUCCCUUCCUCCGUCUAUGGCUUCUAAGACCAUCCCAGUCCUCAGCCCAGUGAAAACGCAGGCCGCAUCGCACGCUAGCCUGCAGGCCACCCUUCCAGAGUCUCAUCCCAAAAUGGCCGCCACCCUUCCAGAGUCUCGUUCCAAGAUGGCCGCAGCCCUUCCAAAGUCUCUUCCUGUCAUGGACAUCACCAUUCCAGAGUCUCGUCCCAACAUGGCCACCAUUCCAGAGCCUUGUUCCAUCAUGACCGCCAUUCCAGAGUCUCAUCCCGUCAUGGCAGACGAGACAUUCUUGAAUAAUUUAUUGGAUACACACUGGUAUGUUAUUGUAGGGACACUGACUUUAUAUUUUCACACCCCAAAACAUGAACUGUGAUAGGUUGCAUUACAUGUCAGUCAAAUGUCCUCUUGGGCGGUGCUUGGCCAAUGAAAGCUGCGAUAGGUUCCAGACCUUCUGCCAUCAGUCAGUAUUGUAUACCACUAUGUAAAGCGACCUUGAGCUAUGGAAAGGCACUAUAUAAAUAAAACUUAUUCUUCUUCUUCUGAACGUCUGGCUACGCAAGACUAUAUUUGUGAUAAUGUAAUGAAACAUGCCAAAUUGUGUGGAAAUAAUUUUUGGCCAGGCUGUCAUACAAAGAUGUUAUGAACAUAUGCAAAAACAGGACAGAACCAGCAAAAUAUUAAUAAAUGAAUAUGUUGUAUUCAAUGUAUGCUUUUUCCUGUUAGUUUUUUGUCCCAACAUGGCCACCAUUCCAGAGCCUUGUUCCGUCAUGACCGCCAUUCCAGAGUCUCGUCCCGUCAUGGCAGCCGCGCAUGUGCCCCUAGGUGUAUUGGUGGAGUAUGAGGGUAUGUCUUGGAGCCCAGAUAUGGCUCCAGCCCCUGAGUCCGCUCCAGCACAGACUCCAGCCCCUGACCACAGUCCAGUGCAGGCUCCAGCCCCUGACCAGAGUUUGUUAAUGGCUUCAGCCCUUGAGCAUGUUACAAAGUCCAUUCCAGUAUGUUCUCCAGAGUCUGCUCCAGAAAGUUCUUCAGAGUCCACUCCAGAACUUCUCCAGGCCUACAAACGCCUAGCCAAUGCCCACGGAGGCCACACCACCAUGGCAUCUUGAACUACCUUCUUCACUGUGGACCUCUGAGUCUUCAGUGGCCUCGGAGGCUCCAGCACCCCCUGUACCUCAGUAGUCCCCUAAGUCUCCAGUGCCCUCGGAGUCUCCAGUGCCCCCUGAACCUCCAUGGAUCACUGGGCCAUCUGUGCCUUCCUGGCUUCCUGAACUGCCUGCUCCUCCCUGGUUCCUGGUACCACUGGUUCCGCCCUGGAGGCUUCCUGUUCUGUCGAAGACACUCCAAGCCAGCCUUCAGGGCACCCUCCCUCCCACACCUAUUGACUUUAUUUGGCACGAGGACGCGCCUUCUGGGAGGGGGAGGUAAUGUUACAUGUCUGUUUGUUUUGGACUCUGUUUGAUUUUCAUUGGUUCCCUUGUUCCUUUGUUCAGUUUCCCGCCACUCCUUAGUUGUAAUGGUCACCUUAAUUAUGGUUCAUUCAUUACCAGCUGUGUUUGUUCAAUUAGUCUUUAAACUUGCAUAACAUUCUUGAAUAAUUUAUUGGAUACACACUGGUCUGUUAUUGUAGGGACAUUGACUUUAUAUUUUCACGCCCCAAAACAUGAACUGUGAUAGGUUGCAUUACAUGUCAGUCAAAUGUCCUCUUGGGCGGUGCUUGGCCAAUGAAAGCUGCGAUAGAUUCCAGACCUUCUGCCAUCAGUCAGUAUUGUAUAUCACUAUGUAAAGCGACCUUGAGCUAUGGAAAGGCACUAUAUAAAUAAAACGUAUUCUUCUUCUGAAGGUCUGGCUACGCAAGACUAUAUUUGUGAUAACGUAAUGAAACAUGCCAAAUUGUGUGGAAAUAGUUUUUGGCCAGGCUGUCAUACAAAGAUGUUAUGAACAUAUGCAAAAACAGGACAGAACCAGCAAAAUAUUAAUAAAUUAAUAUGUUGUAUUCAAUGUAUGCUUUUUCCUGUUAGUUUUUUGUUUUUCUAUGCAUUUUUUUUUUUUUUUUUUUUUUUUGCAUAGUAAAAUAAAACCUGUAUCUGUCUUUUUGCCAAAUACUUUUGUCAGAUAAAUAUCUCAACCAGGUUUAGUUUUUUGUUCUCCCUCAUUUUUGAAAUAUUUAAAGUCCCCCUGUGGUGAAAAUCAAGCUUUUAAUGUUGUUUAUAUGUCUAUGUGGUGUUUUUAAUAUGCUUUAAGACAAACCAUGUGCAAAUUCAUAAGUCAACACCAUUGCUGAGUAUUUUCUCUUUAAAACUGAAGUGAACCAAAGACAUUCCGAGUAACCAAUCACGUCAACGUGUGAUUGUCAACAAGUGGAUCUCCGAGUGGAGGCAGGGCUAACUUGCACAUUUAUAGAACCGUGUAUAAUAUAUGAGGCAAGGGUGUAGAGUUACAUUCAUUGUUAAUGCAUGAAGAUUUUUUUUCCCAAGGAAAAAACAUUUAAAUAUGUAAUUUUGGUGAUCAAAGAUGAGUUUUAAGGGAUAAAAUUAUUGACUACAGGGGGAUUUUAAAAAAUAUUAAAUAUUUUUCUCAUAUUUCGAACUUGUAGGGUCAUUAAAGACAAAUAUCUCCUCCUGGCCACUACUGUGCAUGCAGAAGACAUGUUGAUACCAGGUGUAAACAGCAGUUUGUCUCACCUGACCAGAUCAGCCAAGACAGAAGUUAAUACCAGGUGUAAACAUGGAUUCAGAAAAACUGGAUACAAUGACAUAUAAUGAUAUAUGUUACAAAAUAAAA